RNAcentral lists this ribosomal RNA (653 nucleotides) under uncultured Bacteroides sp. RNAcentral's name for it is "bacterial SSU rRNA". It matches the Rfam family "Bacterial small subunit ribosomal RNA", at positions 833 to 1497 of the family's 1533-position model. The record is from RNAcentral. Lineage: Bacteria; Pseudomonadati; Bacteroidota; Bacteroidia; Bacteroidales; Bacteroidaceae.
UAUACAGCAAGCGGCCAAGCGAAAGCGUUAAGUAUUCCACCUGGGGAGUACGCCGGCAUCGGUGAAACUCAAAGGAAUUGACGGGGGCCCGCACAAGCGGAGGAACAUGUGGUUUAAUUCGAUGAUACGCGAGGAACCUUACCCGGGCUUAAAUUGCAGAUGAAUUACGGUGAAAGCCGUAAGCCGCAAGGCAUCUGUGAAGGUGCUGCAUGGUUGUCGUCAGCUCGUGCCGUGAGGUGUCGGCUUAAGUGCCAUAACGAGCGCAACCCUUGUUGUCAGUUACUAACAGGUUCCGCUGAGGACUCUGACAAGACUGCCAUCGUAAGAUGUGAGGAAGGUGGGGAUGACGUCAAAUCAGCACGGCCCUUACGUCCGGGGCUACACACGUGUUACAAUGGGGGGUACAGAGGGCCGCUACCACGCGAGUGGAUGCCAAUCCCAAAAACCUCUCUCAGUUCGGACUGGAGUCUGCAACCCGACUCCACGAAGCUGGAUUCGCUAGUAAUCGCGCAUCAGCCACGGCGCGGUGAAUACGUUCCCGGGCCUUGUACACACCGCCCGUCAAGCCAUGGGAGCCGGGGGUACCUGAAGUGCGUAACCGCGAGGAGCGCCCUAGGGUAAAACUGGUGACUGGGGCUAAGUCGUAACAAGGU